Molecule: long non-coding RNA, 623 nt
Organism: Mus musculus (house mouse)
Lineage: Eukaryota; Metazoa; Chordata; Mammalia; Rodentia; Muridae
Product: RIKEN cDNA A330032P22 gene
Exons: 4
Source: RefSeq, marked validated
GUGUCACAUGGGAUGAGGACUUUGAGCACGCACUGCCAAUAACUACACAGGGAGAGUGCACGAGGCCAAGCCCCUUCGUCCUUGCUGCCAUCACAAGAGAAGCUAUGCAAGCGUAUUCCAAGUGGGGACCUCGAACCACAAAGCUGGAGUAAGAGAAACAGAAUGAAAGGAAUACAUGGCCGCAUUUGAGGAGUGCAGGAUUAUAUCAGCACUUGGGAUGAACAAGAAGAAGAAGAAAAAGAAGGAGGAGGAGGAGAAGGAGAAGAAGGAGGAGGAGAAGAAGAGACCAGACUUUUGAGAGCAGCCUGACUGGCAUAGUGAAACUGUAUCUUUAAAAACAAGACAGAGAAAUGUUUAUAUUUUUUUUAUUUUCUCCUUUUAUAGUUAUAUGUUAUUUAUUUAUUUUUUAGAAAAUAUUUUUACAUAUAUAUACACAUAUUUAUAUAUCUUACUCUCUUCUCUCUUUUGGCACCCUCAGGUUAGUAUCCUUUGUUCUUCUAGACAGUAUUACAUAUUUAUUGUAUGUACUUAUUGUAUUAUAUAUUUAAUGUGCAUAUAUAUGAUUUCAUGCAACUGUACAAAAUCUAGGAAUCACAAAUUAAAGAAAACUUAUGAUAGUUACA